Non-coding RNA from Pelobates cultripes (western spadefoot toad), 317 nucleotides. NCBI's taxonomy places the organism in Eukaryota, Metazoa, Chordata, Amphibia, Anura, Pelobatidae. The record is from the annotation of a GenBank genome assembly.
CAGGAGUAUAAGCCACAGCUAUAUAUUUUAACUGGAAACUUAGAAAAAAACAAUAAAACAACCAGUUGAAUGUCUUACCCCCCUUUAGUGUCUCUUACUCCAUUUAGUGUCUUGCACCUCACAUUGUUUCUCUUGCACCCCUAUUGUUUUUUUUUUAAUAACUCCUGUGGCUCUGAAAUCCCAGUAAGAAGCUUUCUAUCAUAAAAGGUAAACAAUAAAGAACAUACACUACUGAGGUCUUCCACUAGUUACCUGGACAUUGCACCAGAUGACACUUGGAAUAUAAGAUGCAUCAUAGGUGUGCUGCACCACCAAGG